GUAUAAACGAUGGCAAUAAUCAAAAAAAAAUGGAUUUUUAUAAAGAAAAAGGUGAAGAAACGCUCUGAUUUGGUAUCUUCUUUAUCUUUCUUUAUUUUACUUCUUUUCUUUCU
Molecule: non-coding RNA, 113 nt
Filed under: Platyophrya macrostoma
Lineage: Eukaryota; Ciliophora; Colpodea; Cyrtolophosidida; Platyophryidae
Source: RNAcentral